This 420-nucleotide ribosomal RNA is filed under the name Fusobacteriota bacterium. RNAcentral describes it as "Fusobacteria bacterium partial 16S ribosomal RNA". It matches the Rfam family "Bacterial small subunit ribosomal RNA", at positions 355 to 776 of the family's 1533-position model. The record is from RNAcentral. Lineage: Bacteria; Fusobacteriati; Fusobacteriota.
UGGGGGAUAUUGCACAAUGGGCGAAAGCCUGAUGCAGCGACGCCGCGUGGGGGAUGAAGGCCUUCGGGUUGUAAACUUCUUUUGCUCUGAACAAGGCAUGCCUUUGGGGUGUGUUGAGUGUAGGGGUUGAUUAGCGCCGGCUAACUACGUGCCAGCAGCCGCGGUAAUACGUAGGGCGCGAGCGUUGUCCGGAAUUAUUGGGCGUAAAGGGCUUGUAGGUGGCUGGUUGCGUCUGUCGUGAAAGCUCAUGGCUUAACUGUGGGUUUGCGGUGGGUACGGGCUGGCUUGAGUGCAGUAGGGGAGGCUGGAAUUCCUGGUGUAGCGGUGGAAUGCGCAGAUAUCAGGAGGAAUACCGGUGGCGAAGGCGGGUCUCUGGGCUGUUACUGACGCUGAGGAGCGAAAGCGUAGGGAGCGAACAGG